AGUCGUCAGCGCAGUAUCCAUUCAUUCAUAACUACUUUGUGUCGCAGCAUGAUGUUCAAAAUGCAAGUGAUUGCCAUCGUGGCCUCCCUAUGUUUGAUCCUUUUUUUCAAUCCUCCUAUCGUCGAGUGCGGCCCCGUGCCAGACAAUUUUAUGAGCGGUGUGGCGGGCACAGCGGCAACAUUUGGUAGUAAUGUGGUGAGGGGUUAAGGAGUGUCAGCGACGGACUCAAAAUUCGCAUCAAAUCUCCAAUGACGAACUAUUUUCCUCUUCAAACUCGAUCAAACUCCGACACAAGCCACCUAAAACUCACUGCCUGAAUAUAAUUCUGACUUUCAAUUCUGUUCCAAACUAACAAGAGCACUCAUCAAAAUAUGUUUAAAGAUACGACUGUUACCUACUCUUAAGAAUAACAAUAAGCUUGUGCUAAAAUUUCAAUUUUGUUGGAUGAUCAUAAAAUAUUUUUCAGUUCUGAAUUAAACAUUUACAAUGCUUUUCAUCACA
Non-coding RNA from Bemisia tabaci, 501 nucleotides. The record is from RefSeq and is a predicted model, not a curated record. Lineage: Eukaryota; Metazoa; Arthropoda; Insecta; Hemiptera; Aleyrodidae.